Vombatus ursinus (common wombat) is the source of this 1090-nucleotide long non-coding RNA. RefSeq lists it as uncharacterized. The record is from RefSeq and is a predicted model, not a curated record. Lineage: Eukaryota; Metazoa; Chordata; Mammalia; Diprotodontia; Vombatidae. The transcript is spliced from 8 exons.
GCCCUUUAAAAAAAUUCACCUUUGUCCUUGUGUUUUUCUCCUGGCUUGGAGAUGCAGAUAGUGGAGAGACCUGGUAGAAUGGAAAUAUACUGAGCAUGGAUUUUGUCAGUCCAACACAUGGAAGCAGCUGGGGCAUUCGAUCCUCUUUACACCAGUAUGUCAAACGAGCAUCUUUCUGUGACCUUGGUGGAAUCAUCACCUUGAGAUUCUAAACAUCUCAAUACCAGAUUACUGCAUGAGGAAGCCGAAAUGGAAGUUGAAAUCUGAAAGAGCAACUGCACCUGACCAAUUACACACAAAAGAAUCACGGGGCAGAAGUGACAGUUUUGGAAGCAAUGAGUAGGAGCUGCCAACCUAAUGACGCAGCACAGCACUUUUCAGCAGGAGGCCCUGCCUCAUGUGGCAGACCUGACCUGAGACAAUUCAGGUCUCAUUUAAGGCAUUUCAAUGAUGAGAACAGAAGCUUCCUAGUCCUGAUUGUCCUGACAUAGUGACCCAAAUGGAAUAUGAGACAGUAGCCUCAAGCUAACAUCAUAUUGGGUGAAGGACAAUAGAAAAGGAUUCUGUCUGUCCCCUUGGAACAGAGUGGAGCAUCAGGAAACACCCACCUGCUUUCCAUAAAUCAUUGGAUGUCCUGGGCCUAUCCUUGCAGAAGAUUCACAAAGUGCACUGCAGAGCAGCUAUACUCUGCACCUCCUCCAGCAUCAAGCUCAGCCUGAACACUCAGCCAGUCGUGCCUUUUGGAAGGAACAAAGCCCUUUAGCCUAAGAUUGGCAGAAGCCUCUGUGGUUCUGUUCCCUCAGGGCCUCAUCUUUGGGAUUUGUCACUGCCCUGGCCAGAGGCUGGGCCCCUUCAGUGAAAGACUCCCCACUUCCUAGUGAAGACCGGGCGUUUCCCAAAUCUACAUUUCUGCAAGGUCAAAAUCAAGCAAUAAUCUCCUAAAACUGAGAUUCUGGAUUCCUAAGGAAUUGAAGAGUAACUCACAAUCUGCUCCAGAGCACAAAUUCGAAUUAAUGGGAAUGAUGGUGGAAGCUGACCAGAAAAAAGUCUUAUCCAAGUUAUUUCCAUGAUAUUCAUAUUAACGACUCUU